CUGGCCCUUUUUUUUUUUUUUUUUUUUUCCAGAAAAGCAGGUUUAUUUCACAAAACUGUGGGUCUGAAAGCUGGUGGACAAGAAAGCUAGUUAUAUUGUCCAAGUCGUGGAGGAAUUGCAAUAGCUGCUUUAUUUUAUGAAAUGUUGAUUUAAGCAAAGAAGCUUUAGAGAAGAUUUAUUUUUCUAGAAAAAAACAACCUGACCUUUUAAGUUUUUCAGGUUGAACCUGUCUCACUCAAAUUAAGAACGUUUGUAGCUAAAGAAGGUUUAUUGGACUUGGAGGUUGCAGCUGGAGUGAGAUAACAUUUCGGUAUUAGGCAUAGUGAAUCUAUGGGUGUUGUAAGUGUUGGCUGUAUCCCAAGUGGAAUUGAAUGUUAUUAAACCCUUUCAAGAACUUCAUUUCUGUCUACCAACAGGUUUUUGCUACAAUCCAGUAGACUUGGGAAGUUUCUAAAUACUUGAAGUUGGUUAGUUCGAACUUUCAAGAAAAGGAAACAGUUAAAAACAGAGCUUGACAGGUCACCCAGGUGACCCGGUGUGUUAGGGGCAGUUUCAAAGACUGAUGUGAGGAGUAGUGGAAAGGGGUCAGUGAGUGAUACGGUCAUUGUGAAGCAUUGGCUGGACAGUUCUUUACAGCCCCCCUGCACAGCUGCAGGCUGUGAGGUAUGUGGUCAAGAAAUGGAGAUAAAGCUGUUUCUGAGUUCAAACACAGUAGGAAGGCUGCGAAAUGGCUGGCAUUGCCCGGCUGUGUUUGCAUCCUCUCUCUGCCAUUUGAGGGCAGUGGAUUCAGCAUGCAUCUUUGAAAUAUAUCCCAGCUUGUCAGAGCUUGAGCUUCUCCAAGCAAGGAUGUGUUUUAUUCCAUGCUGUGUCCCUCACACAGCACCUGGGACACAGGAGGUACACAGCGAGAACCGAAGUUUGGAGGUAGACGAGCAGGCGAGCGGUUUGCCCGGGCGCAGAGCAUGAAGGCCGGGCGGGCGCGGGGAGCGGCGCCCCGGCCCGGCGCGGGGGUGAGCGAGAGAGAGAGCGGAGCGCGUGUGGCCGGCGCCGCUCGGCCGGGAG
Molecule: long non-coding RNA, 1062 nt
Filed under: Homo sapiens (human)
Lineage: Eukaryota; Metazoa; Chordata; Mammalia; Primates; Hominidae
Description: HSALNT0334279
Source: RNAcentral